RNAcentral lists this ribosomal RNA (469 nucleotides) under uncultured bacterium. RNAcentral describes it as "partial 16S ribosomal RNA". It matches the Rfam family "Bacterial small subunit ribosomal RNA", at positions 355 to 840 of the family's 1533-position model. The record is from RNAcentral.
UGGGGAAUAUUGCACAAUGGGCGAAAGCCUGAUGCAGCAACGCCGCGUGAGUGAUGAAGGUCUUCGGAUUGUAAAGCUCUGUCUUUUGGGACGAUAAUGACGGUACCAAAGGAGGAAGCCACGGCUAACUACGUGCCAGCAGCCGCGGUAAUACGUAGGUGGCGAGCGUUGUCCGGAUUUACUGGGCGUAAAGGGUGCGUAGGCGGAUGUUUAAGUGAGAUGUGAAAUACCCGGGCUUAACUUGGGUGCUGCAUUUCAAACUGGAUAUCUAGAGUGCAGGAGAGGAGAAUGGAAUUCCUAGUGUAGCGGUGAAAUGCGUAGAGAUUAGGAAGAACACCAGUGGCGAAGGCGAUUCUCUGGACUGUAACUGACGCUGAGGCACGAAAGCGUGGGUAGCAAACAGGAUUAGAUACCCUGGUAGUCCACGCCGUAAACGAUGAGUACUAGGUGUAGGAGGUAUCGACCCCUU